UGCGCUGCUGCGGCGCAUGGCGGCCGGCGCGGCGCCGGCGGCGCCGCAGGCGAUGCGCGUCGUCGGCGCGUUCGAGCACGACACCGAGG
This 89-nucleotide transfer RNA is filed under the name Vulcaniibacterium thermophilum. RNAcentral's name for it is "tRNA-Ala". Lineage: Bacteria; Pseudomonadati; Pseudomonadota; Gammaproteobacteria; Lysobacterales; Lysobacteraceae. The record is from RNAcentral.